Non-coding RNA from Nelumbo nucifera (sacred lotus), 1178 nucleotides. Lineage: Eukaryota; Viridiplantae; Streptophyta; Magnoliopsida; Proteales; Nelumbonaceae. The record is from RefSeq and is a predicted model, not a curated record.
GGAGGUGAUGAUGGGAGUCCGUCGGUUCGAGCCAAUCCAACCAUCAUUGCGAAUCUUCGGACGGCCGAGCCCACCAUCAUUUGGAAAACACUCCCUCUAAAGAAAAAUGAGUCCUUACAAGAAUACCCCGUGGAAUGACGAGAAUACCCCUACUGAACAUAACCAUCAUCACAUGACGCCAUCCAUCCCCCGUCCCUUUGCCAACGCCAAGGCAAAGAGGCAAGAACAAGAAGGGCUGAAGGGGGCAGAACAGAAAGCCAGCGGCCAGGCCAUCUCACCAGCCACAGCCCAGCCCAGCCAGCCAGCCAUCAUCAUACAACAUUAAAUCCUCGCCCCUACCGGCCGCCUUCCGUGCUUACACAUGCAUGAUUGUUGUGGCAGAAGAGGCAUGUCCCCUCCUCCACCACUCCCCUCUACUCUAUAUAUAUUAUCACUCCCUCUUUGCGUCCCUCACAACUCAAACUCAUACUCCUCUCUCUCUCUUUUGCUUCCUUUUAUUCUCUUUUCCUACUACUACACUCCACUCCACUCCAGCAACUUCCACGACCAAGGAAGCCUUCUUCUUACAACCACCUCAAAAAGGUAGUUCCAAGUUUUCAUAGUCAUGGAAAGGCUGAACUCAAAGCUGUACCUGCAGAACUGCUACAUAAUCCAAGAGAAUGAGAGGCUAAGGAAGAAAGCUCAGCUUCUCAACCAGGAGAAUCAGGCUCUGUUAUCUGAGCUUAAGCAGAAGCUUGCCAAGGGAAACCCCAAACCCAACACGAACCUUAUCCCAGACCUCAACCUCAGUUCCACCUCCACCCCAAAUCCGCCUAGUUCCAGCAAAUCCUGAUGGUUUGAUAGAUACUACACCCUUUUUUUUGUGUGUUAAACCAUAGGAGUCAAAAGGAAUGGUAAAUCCAGUUUCAGUUAUAGGACAGUAGUAUCUUUUGUUCCACCAGAGUACUUUGUUACCUACCCAUGUCUCCAUCUUAUUAUAUCUUUUUCUGGUGUUGAGAUGAUGAAGUGCAGAACUAUUUAAGAUGUACCAGGGAGGCAAAAGGAAUAUAAUCAUUUUAUAGUCUUAAAAAGUUGGAGCUUCUGAUUCUCACAUUUUCUUUUCUUUCUCACUUUUUAUGUUUUAAAAAAUUAUAAACUAAGAAUCAGAAACCUGAUUAACAUGAAAAAGCUUACACUAA